ACUCCUACGGGAGGCAGCAGUAGGGAAUAUUGGACAAUGGGCGGAAAGCCUGAUCCAGCAAUGCCGCGUGAGUGAUGAAGGCCUUAGGGGUUGUAAAGCUCUUUUACCCGGGAUGAUAAUGACAGUACCGGGAGAAUAAGCUCCGGCUAACUCCGUGCCAGCAGCCGCGGUAAUACGGAGGGAGCUAGCGUUGUUCGGAAUUACUGGGCGUAAAGCGCACGUAGGCGGCUAUUCAAGUCAGAGGUGAAAGCCCGGGGCUCAACCCCGGAACUGCCUUUGAAACUAGAUAGCUUGAAUCCAGGAGAGGUGAGUGGAAUUCCGAGUGUAGAGGUGAAAUUCGUAGAUAUUCGGAAGAACACCAGUGGCGAAGGCGGCUCACUGGACUGGUAUUGACGCUGAGGUGCGAAAGCGUGGGAGCAAACAGGAUUAGAUACCCUGGUAGACUGUCA
This 449-nucleotide ribosomal RNA is filed under the name uncultured bacterium. Its description in RNAcentral is "bacterial SSU rRNA". It matches the Rfam family "Bacterial small subunit ribosomal RNA", at positions 335 to 802 of the family's 1533-position model. The record is from RNAcentral.